UACGUAGGGGCCAAGCGUUGUCCGGAUUUAUUGGGCGUAAAGAGCUCGUAGGCGGUUCGGCAAGUCAGCUGUGAAAUCUCCACGCUCAACGUGGAGGGGUCAGCUGAUACUGCUGUGACUCGAGUCCGGUAGGGGAGUGUGGAAUUCCCGGUGUAGCGGUGAAAUGCGCAGAUAUCGGGAGGAACACCAGUGGCGAAGGCGACUUCCUGGCCUGUUCUUGACGCUGAGGCGCGAAAGCUAGGGUAGCAAACGGG
RNAcentral lists this ribosomal RNA (254 nucleotides) under uncultured bacterium. RNAcentral describes it as "partial 16S ribosomal RNA". It matches the Rfam family "Bacterial small subunit ribosomal RNA", at positions 524 to 776 of the family's 1533-position model. The record is from RNAcentral.